Molecule: ribosomal RNA, 549 nt
Filed under: uncultured bacterium
Lineage: Bacteria
Description: bacterial SSU rRNA
Rfam family: Bacterial small subunit ribosomal RNA
Source: RNAcentral
UGGGGAAUUUUGGACAAUGGGCGCAAGCCUGAUCCAGCCAUGCCGCGUGUCUGAAGAAGGCCUUCGGGUUGUAAAGGACUUUUGUCAGGGAAGAAAAGGAUAGGGUUAAUACCCCUGUCUGAUGACGGUACCUGAAGAAUAAGCACCGGCUAACUACGUGCCAGCAGCCGCGGUAAUACGUAGGGUGCGAGCGUUAAUCGGAAUUACUGGGCGUAAAGCGGGCGCAGACGGUUACUUAAGCAGGAUGUGAAAUCCCCGGGCUCAACCUGGGAACUGCGUUCUGAACUGGGUGACUAGAGUGUGUCAGAGGGAGGUAGAAUUCCACGUGUAGCAGUGAAAUGCGUAGAGAUGUGGAGGAAUACCGAUGGCGAAGGCAGCCUCCUGGGAUAACACUGACGUUCAUGCCCGAAAGCGUGGGUAGCAAACAGGAUUAGAUACCCUGGUAGUCCACGCCCUAAACGAUGUCGAUUAGCUGUUGGGCAGCUUGACUGCUUAGUAGCGAAGCUAACGCGUGAAAUCGACCGCCUGGGGAGUACGGUCGCAAGAUUA